RNAcentral lists this ribosomal RNA (465 nucleotides) under uncultured bacterium. Its description in RNAcentral is "partial 16S ribosomal RNA". It matches the Rfam family "Bacterial small subunit ribosomal RNA", at positions 338 to 795 of the family's 1533-position model. The record is from RNAcentral.
CCUACGGGAGGCAGCAGUGGGGAAUAUUGCGCAAUGGACGAAAGUCUGACGCAGCGACGCCGCGUGAGGGAUGAAGGUUUUCGGAUCGUAAACCUCUGUCAGGAGGGAAGAAAGCGCAUGGCGCCAAUCAGCCAUGCGUUGACGGUACCUCCAAAGGAAGCGCCGGCUAACUCCGUGCCAGCAGCCGCGGUAAUACGGAGGGCGCGAGCGUUAAUCGGAAUUACUGGGCGGAAAGCGCGCGUAGGCGGUUGUUUAAGUUUAGGGUGAAAUCCCACGGCUCAACCGGGGAUCAGCCCUUGAUACUGCGAGACUUGAGUGCGUGAGAGGGUGGCGGAAUUCCAGGUGUAGGAGUGAAAUCCGUAGAUAUCUGGAGGAACAUCAGUGGCGAAGGCGGCCACCUGGAUCAGUACUGACGCUGAGGCGCGAAAGCGUGGGGAGCAAACAGGAUUAGAUACCCCUGUAGUC